RNAcentral lists this ribosomal RNA (628 nucleotides) under Escherichia coli. Its description in RNAcentral is "partial 23S ribosomal RNA". It matches the Rfam family "Bacterial large subunit ribosomal RNA", at positions 1291 to 1904 of the family's 2925-position model. Lineage: Bacteria; Pseudomonadati; Pseudomonadota; Gammaproteobacteria; Enterobacterales; Enterobacteriaceae. The record is from RNAcentral.
CGAAUGCUGACAUAAGUAACGAUAAAGCGGGUGAAAAGCCCGCUCGCCGGAAGACCAAGGGUUCCUGUCCAACGUUAAUCGGGGCAGGGUGAGUCGACCCCUAAGGCGAGGCCGAAAGGCGUAGUCGAUGGGAAACAGGUUAAUAUUCCUGUACUUGGUGUUACUGCGAAGGGGGGACGGAGAAGGCUAUGUUGGCCGGGCGACGGUUGUCCCGGUUUAAGCGUGUAGGCUGGUUUUCCAGGCAAAUCCGGAAAAUCAAGGCUGAGGCGUGAUGACGAGGCACUACGGUGCUGAAGCAACAAAUGCCCUGCUUCCAGGAAAAGCCUCUAAGCAUCAGGUAACAUCAAAUCGUACCCCAAACCGACACAGGUGGUCAGGUAGAGAAUACCAAGGCGCUUGAGAGAACUCGGGUGAAGGAACUAGGCAAAAUGGUGCCGUAACUUCGGGAGAAGGCACGCUGAUAUGUAGGUGAGGUCCCUCGCGGAUGGAGCUGAAAUCAGUCGAAGAUACCAGCUGGCUGCAACUGUUUAUUAAAAACACAGCACUGUGCAAACACGAAAGUGGACGUAUACGGUGUGACGCCUGCCCGGUGCCGGAAGGUUAAUUGAUGGGGUUAGCGCAAGCGAAG